Molecule: transfer RNA, 88 nt
Filed under: Anaerolineae bacterium
Lineage: Bacteria; Bacillati; Chloroflexota; Anaerolineae
Description: tRNA-Ser
Rfam family: tRNA
About the family: Transfer RNA (tRNA) molecules are approximately 80 nucleotides in length. Their secondary structure includes four short double-helical elements and three loops (D, anti-codon, and T loops).
Source: RNAcentral
GGAGAGGUCGCCUAGUCUGGCCUAGGGCGCACGAUUGGAAAUCGUGUAGGCGAAAGCCUCGCGGGUUCGAAUCCCGCCCUCUCCGCCU